This 75-nucleotide transfer RNA is filed under the name Eubacteriales Family XIII. Incertae Sedis bacterium. Its description in RNAcentral is "tRNA-Glu". It matches the Rfam family "tRNA". From Rfam's summary of the family: Transfer RNA (tRNA) molecules are approximately 80 nucleotides in length. Their secondary structure includes four short double-helical elements and three loops (D, anti-codon, and T loops). Lineage: Bacteria; Bacillati; Bacillota; Clostridia; Peptostreptococcales; Anaerovoracaceae. The record is from RNAcentral.
GGCCCUGUGGUCAAGAGGUUAAGACACCGCCCUUUCACGGCGGUAACCCGGGUUCAAUUCCCGGCAGGGUCACCA